UACAGAGGGGGCAAGCGUUAUUCGGAAUUAUUGGGCGUAAAGCGCACGUAGGCGGCGCCGUAAGUCAGGGGUGAAAUCCCGGGGCUCAACCCCGGAACUGCCCUUGAAACUGCAGUGCUAGAAUCUUGGAGAGGCGAGUGGAAUUCCGAGUGUAGAGGUGAAAUUCGUAGAUAUUCGGAAGAACACCAGUGGCGAAGGCGACUCGCUGGACAAGUAUUGACGCUGAGGUGCGAAAGCGUGGGGAGCGAACAGG
RNAcentral lists this ribosomal RNA (253 nucleotides) under uncultured bacterium. Its description in RNAcentral is "partial 16S ribosomal RNA". It matches the Rfam family "Bacterial small subunit ribosomal RNA", at positions 524 to 776 of the family's 1533-position model. The record is from RNAcentral.